AUGUGGAGCAUGUGGUAACGAAGGACAUAACAGAACUUCUUGUCCGCUGAAUAAAUCAGUCACUUCUGCGUCGAAGUCUCCUCCUCGAGCUAUUGAAAUCCCAAAAAAGUCAUACAAAUGUGGAGCAUGUGGUAACGAAGGACAUAACAGAACUUCUUGUCCGCUGAAUAAAUCAGUCACUUCUGCGUCGAAGUCUCCUCCUCGAGCUAUUGAAAUCCCAAAAAAGUCAUACA
Diprion similis is the source of this 233-nucleotide long non-coding RNA. RefSeq lists it as uncharacterized. The record is from RefSeq and is a predicted model, not a curated record. Lineage: Eukaryota; Metazoa; Arthropoda; Insecta; Hymenoptera; Diprionidae. The transcript has 3 exons.